RNAcentral lists this ribosomal RNA (253 nucleotides) under uncultured microorganism. RNAcentral's name for it is "partial small subunit ribosomal RNA". It matches the Rfam family "Bacterial small subunit ribosomal RNA", at positions 524 to 776 of the family's 1533-position model. The record is from RNAcentral.
UACGUAGGGGGCAAGCGUUAUCCGGAUUUACUGGGUGUAAAGGGAGCGUAGAUGGCAUAGCAAGUCAGAUGUGAAAACCCAGGGCUUAACCCUGGGACUGCAUUUGAAACUGUCAGGCUGGAGUGCAGGAGAGGUAAGUGGAAUUCCUAGUGUAGCGGUGAAAUGCGUAGAUAUUAGGAGGAACACCAGUGGCGAAGGCGGCUUACUGGACUGUAACUGACAUUGAUGCUCGAAAGCGUGGGGAGCAAACAGG